This 2903-nucleotide ribosomal RNA is filed under the name Escherichia coli. RNAcentral's name for it is "23S ribosomal RNA". It matches the Rfam family "Bacterial large subunit ribosomal RNA". The record is from RNAcentral. Lineage: Bacteria; Pseudomonadati; Pseudomonadota; Gammaproteobacteria; Enterobacterales; Enterobacteriaceae.
UUAAGCGACUAAGCGUACACGGUGGAUGCCCUGGCAGUCAGAGGCGAUGAAGGACGUGCUAAUCUGCGAUAAGCGUCGGUAAGGUGAUAUGAACCGUUAUAACCGGCGAUUUCCGAAUGGGGAAACCCAGUGUGAUUCGUCACACUAUCAUUAACUGAAUCCAUAGGUUAAUGAGGCGAACCGGGGGAACUGAAACAUCUAAGUACCCCGAGGAAAAGAAAUCAACCGAGAUUCCCCCAGUAGCGGCGAGCGAACGGGGAGCAGCCCAGAGCCUGAAUCAGUGUGUGUGUUAGUGGAAGCGUCUGGAAAGGCGCGCGAUACAGGGUGACAGCCCCGUACACAAAAAUGCACAUGCUGUGAGCUCGAUGAGUAGGGCGGGACACGUGGUAUCCUGUCUGAAUAUGGGGGGACCAUCCUCCAAGGCUAAAUACUCCUGACUGACCGAUAGUGAACCAGUACCGUGAGGGAAAGGCGAAAAGAACCCCGGCGAGGGGAGUGAAAAAGAACCUGAAACCGUGUACGUACAAGCAGUGGGAGCCUCUUUAUGGGGUGACUGCGUACCUUUUGUAUAAUGGGUCAGCGACUUAUAUUCUGUAGCAAGGUUAACCGAAUAGGGGAGCCGAAGGGAAACCGAGUCUUAACUGGGCGUUAAGUUGCAGGGUAUAGACCCGAAACCCGGUGAUCUAGCCAUGGGCAGGUUGAAGGUUGGGUAACACUAACUGGAGGACCGAACCGACUAAUGUUGAAAAAUUAGCGGAUGACUUGUGGCUGGGGGUGAAAGGCCAAUCAAACCGGGAGAUAGCUGGUUCUCCCCGAAAGCUAUUUAGGUAGCGCCUCGUGAAUUCAUCUCCGGGGGUAGAGCACUGUUUCGGCAAGGGGGUCAUCCCGACUUACCAACCCGAUGCAAACUGCGAAUACCGGAGAAUGUUAUCACGGGAGACACACGGCGGGUGCUAACGUCCGUCGUGAAGAGGGAAACAACCCAGACCGCCAGCUAAGGUCCCAAAGUCAUGGUUAAGUGGGAAACGAUGUGGGAAGGCCCAGACAGCCAGGAUGUUGGCUUAGAAGCAGCCAUCAUUUAAAGAAAGCGUAAUAGCUCACUGGUCGAGUCGGCCUGCGCGGAAGAUGUAACGGGGCUAAACCAUGCACCGAAGCUGCGGCAGCGACGCUGAUGCGUUGUUGGGUAGGGGAGCGUUCUGUAAGCCUGUGAAGGUGUGCUGUGAGGCAUGCUGGAGGUAUCAGAAGUGCGAAUGCUGACAUAAGUAACGAUAAAGCGGGUGAAAAGCCCGCUCGCCGGAAGACCAAGGGUUCCUGUCCAACGUUAAUCGGGGCAGGGUGAGUCGACCCCUAAGGCGAGGCCGAAAGGCGUAGUCGAUGGGAAACAGGUUAAUAUUCCUGUACUUGGUGUUACUGCGAAGGGGGGACGGAGAAGGCUAUGUUGGCCGGGCGACGGUUGUCCCGGUUUAAGCGUGUAGGCUGGUUUUCCAGGCAAAUCCGGAAAAUCAAGGCUGAGGCGUGAUGACGAGGCACUACGGUGCUGAAGCAACAAAUGCCCUGCUUCCAGGAAAAGCCUCUAAGCAUCAGGUAACAUCAAAUCGUACCCCAAACCGACACAGGUGGUCAGGUAGAGAAUACCAAGGCGCUUGAGAGAACUCGGGUGAAGGAACUAGGCAAAAUGGUGCCGUAACUUCGGGAGAAGGCACGCUGAUAUGUAGGUGAAGUCCCUCGCGGAUGGAGCUGAAAUCAGUCGAAGAUACCAGCUGGCUGCAACUGUUUAUUAAAAACACAGCACUGUGCAAACACGAAAGUGGACGUAUACGGUGUGACGCCUGCCCGGUGCCGGAAGGUUAAUUGAUGGGGUUAGCGGUAACGCGAAGCUCUUGAUCGAAGCCCCGGUAAACGGCGGCCGUAACUAUAACGGUCCUAAGGUAGCGAAAUUCCUUGUCGGGUAAGUUCCGACCUGCACGAAUGGCGUAAUGAUGGCCAGGCUGUCUCCACCCGAGACUCAGUGAAAUUGAACUCGCUGUGAAGAUGCAGUGUACCCGCGGCAAGACGGAAAGACCCCGUGAACCUUUACUAUAGCUUGACACUGAACAUUGAGCCUUGAUGUGUAGGAUAGGUGGGAGGCUUUGAAGUGUGGACGCCAGUCUGCAUGGAGCCGACCUUGAAAUACCACCCUUUAAUGUUUGAUGUUCUAACGUUGACCCGUAAUCCGGGUUGCGGACAGUGUCUGGUGGGUAGUUUGACUGGGGCGGUCUCCUCCUAAAGAGUAACGGAGGAGCACGAAGGUUGGCUAAUCCUGGUCGGACAUCAGGAGGUUAGUGCAAUGGCAUAAGCCAGCUUGACUGCGAGCGUGACGGCGCGAGCAGGUGCGAAAGCAGGUCAUAGUGAUCCGGUGGUUCUGAAUGGAAGGGCCAUCGCUCAACGGAUAAAAGGUACUCCGGGGAUAACAGGCUGAUACCGCCCAAGAGUUCAUAUCGACGGCGGUGUUUGGCACCUCGAUGUCGGCUCAUCACAUCCUGGGGCUGAAGUAGGUCCCAAGGGUAUGGCUGUUCGCCAUUUAAAGUGGUACGCGAGCUGGGUUUAGAACGUCGUGAGACAGUUCGGUCCCUAUCUGCCGUGGGCGCUGGAGAACUGAGGGGGGCUGCUCCUAGUACGAGAGGACCGGAGUGGACGCAUCACUGGUGUUCGGGUUGUCAUGCCAAUGGCACUGCCCGGUAGCUAAAUGCGGAAGAGAUAAGUGCUGAAAGCAUCUAAGCACGAAACUUGCCCCGAGAUGAGUUCUCCCUGACCCUUUAAGGGUCCUGAAGGAACGUUGAAGACGACGACGUUGAUAGGCCGGGUGUGUAAGCGCAGCGAUGCGUUGAGCUAACCGGUACUAAUGAACCGUGAGGCUUAACCUU